Molecule: ribosomal RNA, 462 nt
Filed under: uncultured bacterium
Lineage: Bacteria
Description: bacterial SSU rRNA
Rfam family: Bacterial small subunit ribosomal RNA
Source: RNAcentral
AUUAAACGCUGGCGGCAUGCCUUACACAUGCAAGUCGAACGGUAGCGCGGGGCAACCUGGCGACGAGUGGCGAACGGGUGAGUAAAGCAUCGGAACGUGCCCUGGAAUGGGGGAUAACGUAGCGAAAGUUACGCUAAUACCGCAUAUUCUGUGAGCAGGAAAGCAGGGGAUCGCAAGACCUUGCGUUCUGGGAGCGGCCGAUGUCGGAUUAGCUAGUUGGUGGGGUAAAAGCCUACCAAGGCGACGAUCCGUAGCGGGUCUGAGAGGAUGAUCCGCCACACUGGGACUGAGACACGGCCCAGACUCCUACGGGAGGCAGCAGUGGGGGAAUUUUGGACAAUGGGCGGAAGCCUGAUCCAGCCAUGCCGCGUGAGUGAAGAAGGCCUUGGUUGUUAAAGGCUCUUCGGUUGGGGAAGGAAAGUUAGCACGGGUUAAGUACCCUAGUGUAGAUGACGGUACCGA